This 484-nucleotide ribosomal RNA is filed under the name uncultured bacterium. RNAcentral's name for it is "partial 16S ribosomal RNA". It matches the Rfam family "Bacterial small subunit ribosomal RNA", at positions 30 to 507 of the family's 1533-position model. The record is from RNAcentral.
AUUGAACGCUGGCGGCAUGCCUAACACAUGCAAGUCGAGCGGAUGAAGGAAGCUUGCUCCUGGAUUCCGCGGCGGACGGGCGAGUAAUGCCUAGGAAUCUGCCUGGUCGUGGGGGCUAACGUCCGGAAACGGGACCUAAUCUCGCAUACGUCAUGAGAGAGAAACUGGGGGUUCUUCGGACAUCAAGCUAUCAGCUGAGCCUAGGUCGGAUUAGCUAGUUGGUGGGGUAAAGGCGUACCAAGGCGACGAUCCGUAACUGGUCUGAGAGGAUGAUCAGUCACACUGGAACUGAGACACGGUCCAGACUCCUACGGGAGGCAGCAGUGGGGAAUAUUGGACAAUGGGCGAAAGCCUGAUCCAGCCAUGCCGCGUGUGUGAAGAAGGUCUUCGGAUUGUAAAGCACUGUUAGUUGGGAGGAAGGGCAGUAAGUGAAUACCUGGCUGUUUUGACGUUACCAACAGAGAAAGCACCGGCUAACUACGUG